This 407-nucleotide ribosomal RNA is filed under the name uncultured bacterium. RNAcentral's name for it is "partial 16S ribosomal RNA". It matches the Rfam family "Bacterial small subunit ribosomal RNA", at positions 29 to 526 of the family's 1533-position model. The record is from RNAcentral.
AUCGAACGCUGGCGGCAUGCCUAACACAUGCAAGUCGAGCGGAGCGGCGGACGGGUGAGUAAUGCCUAGGAAUCUGCCUGGUAGUGGUGGAUAACGUCCGGAAACGGGCGCUAAUACCGCAUACUAUCAGAUCAGCAUAGGUGGGAUUAGCUAGUUCGUGGGGUAAAGGCCUACCAAGGCGACGUACCGUAACUGGUCUGAGAGGAUGAUCAGCCACACUGGAACUGGGACACGGUCCAGACACCAAAGGGAGGCAGCAGAGGGGAAGAGUGGAAAAGGGGGGAAAGCCUGAUGCAGCCAGGACGGGUGUGGGAAGAAGGUCUUGGGAUUGUAAGGCAUGUUAAGUAGGGAGGCGGUACUAACAGAAUAAGCACCGGCUAACUACGUGCCAGCAGCCGCGGUAAUUC